AUUGAACGCUGGCGGCAUGCCUUACACAUGCAAGUCGAACGGCAGCGGGGGAGAAGCUUGCUUUUCCUGCCGGCGAGUGGCGAACGGGUGAGUAAUACACCGGAACGUGCCCUGUAGUGGGGGAUAACUAGUCGAAAGAUUAGCUAAUACCGCAUACGACCUGAGGGUGAAAGUGAGGGACCGAAAGGCCUCAUGCUAUAGGAGCGGCCGAUGUCUGAUUAGCUAGUUGGAGGGGUAAAGGCCUACCAAGGCGACGAUCAGUCGCUGGUCUGAGAAGACGGUAAGCACCACUGUGGCUGGGACACGGCCACAAUUCCUACGUGAGGCAGAAGUGGUGAAUUUUGGACAAUGGGCGAAAGCCUGAUCCAGCAGUGCUGCGUGUGUGAAGAAGGCCUUCGGGUUGUAAAGCACUUUUGUCCGGAAAGAAAUGGCUCUGUUUAAUACCUGGGGUCGAUGACGCUACCGGAAGACUAAGGACCGGCUAACUACGUGCCAGCAGCCGCCGUAA
This 508-nucleotide ribosomal RNA is filed under the name uncultured bacterium. Its description in RNAcentral is "partial 16S ribosomal RNA". It matches the Rfam family "Bacterial small subunit ribosomal RNA", at positions 30 to 523 of the family's 1533-position model. The record is from RNAcentral.